This 946-nucleotide ribosomal RNA is filed under the name Vibrio parahaemolyticus. RNAcentral describes it as "partial 23S ribosomal RNA". It matches the Rfam family "Bacterial large subunit ribosomal RNA", at positions 222 to 1219 of the family's 2925-position model. The record is from RNAcentral. Lineage: Bacteria; Pseudomonadati; Pseudomonadota; Gammaproteobacteria; Vibrionales; Vibrionaceae.
AAAUCAACCGAGAUUCCGAAAGUAGCGGCGAGCGAAAUUGGACUAGCCCUUAAGCUUUACACGCGUUAGACGAACGGUCUGGAAAGUCCGACGAUACAGGGUGAUAGUCCCGUAGUUGACGACGUGUGUUCAGUGAAAUCGAGUAGGGCGGGACACGUGAUAUCCUGUCUGAAUAUGGGGGGACCAUCCUCCAAGGCUAAAUACUACUGACUGACCGAUAGUGAACCAGUACCGUGAGGGAAAGGCGAAAAGAACCCCUGUGAGGGGAGUGAAAUAGAACCUGAAACCGUGUACGUACAAGCAGUAGGAGCAGGCUUUGUCCUGUGACUGCGUACCUUUUGUAUAAUGGGUCAGCGACUUAUAUUCAGUGGCAAGGUUAACCAUCUAGGGGAGCCGUAGGGAAACCGAGUCUUAACUGGGCGUUCAGUCUCUGGAUAUAGACCCGAAACCAGGUGAUCUAGCCAUGGGCAGGUUGAAGGUUGAGUAACAUCAACUGGAGGACCGAACCGACUAAUGUUGAAAAAUUAGCGGAUGACUUGUGGCUAGGGGUGAAAGGCCAAUCAAACCUGGAGAUAGCUGGUUCUCCCCGAAAGCUAUUUAGGUAGCGCCUCGGACGAAUACUACUGGGGGUAGAGCACUGUUAAGGCUAGGGGGUCAUCCCGACUUACCAACCCUUUGCAAACUCCGAAUACCAGUAAGUACUAUCCGGGAGACACACGGCGGGUGCUAACGUCCGUCGUGGAGAGGGAAACAACCCAGACCGCCAGCUAAGGUCCCAAAUUACUACUAAGUGGGAAACGAUGUGGGAAGGCUCAGACAGCCAGGAUGUUGGCUUAGAAGCAGCCAUCAUUUAAAGAAAGCGUAAUAGCUCACUGGUCGAGUCGGCCUGCGCGGAAGAUGUAACGGGGCUAAGUAGUAAACCGAAGCUGCGGCAAUACUCUUUGAG